RNAcentral lists this transfer RNA (72 nucleotides) under Manacus vitellinus (golden-collared manakin). It matches the Rfam family "tRNA". From Rfam's summary of the family: Transfer RNA (tRNA) molecules are approximately 80 nucleotides in length. Their secondary structure includes four short double-helical elements and three loops (D, anti-codon, and T loops). Lineage: Eukaryota; Metazoa; Chordata; Aves; Passeriformes; Pipridae. The record is from Rfam by way of RNAcentral.
CCCCUGGUGGUCUACUGGUUAGGAUGUGGCGCUCUCACCGCCGCGGCCUGGGUUCGAUUCCCGGUCAGGGAA